CGGUUUUAUUCUGUCAGGACGACUUUCUUUUAUAAUGAUUUUGUAUGAAAAUGCAAGUCAUAAACUAAUAAAGAGUCUUACUUCUCGAAAAAUAACAAAAUUUUGGAUACAUGCAUGUUAAUUUUUUCUAUCACACUCUAAAAAAAUAAAAAACUUUAUAUUCUAUUCUAUGAUAAUGAAACACUUACCACUAAAAAACAAACACAAUUUGUUGAUUAUUCUAUAAGAAUAUACUAUUAAACAUAUCCUUAUCAUUCUAUUGUAGAUUAUUCUGCGAGAAUAUAAUGAUGAAUAGUGCUUUCUUUGGUGACCAUUGUUCAUCUUCAUUACAUAUACCAUCAUCUAACCUUCAUGUCAUUGAUCACCAUCUUCACUUCACGCAUUCUAUGAGAAUAACUUUCUUUAAGCCUUUAUAUAACAAAUAAUAAAACAAACUUUAGUAAUUCUAAUAAAAUGCAUAUCGUAUGGUCAGAUAUAAUACUUUUUACAAUAAUAUAAGAAUGUCUACAAAUUAUUCUAAUAGAAGGAUACCUUAGCUACAAAAUAUUCUUAAAGAAUAUAAAACGUGUUGAUCAAAUGCAGCACACAUAGAGAAAAAAAGGAGUUGAUGGUACCCGAAUCAAGAAACCUAAAAUUUUAGAGUUGAAUUGAUCAGUAAAACCCAUGUGCUCUUAACUUGUAUUCUCAAACUCUUUGGUGAUCUCAUUUGCUCUUAACUCAACAACCUUUUAGCCAACUUCAGGCUUGUUUAGUAUGUGGUAUAAAUUGCGUAUACACAACUAUAGAAUAUGUGUUCGGUUCCUUUUAAGGCUCUCCUUCAGAAAUCACAUCCGACAAUCACAAUUACAAAGAAAUCCAAAAAUUACUAAAUACUCAAAAUAUCUAUUCAAUUUUCUUUUAUUUUUUCUAUCCUUCCAAUCUACAAAAAAAAGAAACUUACAAGCGAGUUGUUUCGGUUUAUGAGAAAAAAAACCCAUAAGUAAUAGAAAGCAUACAUUGAUAAGUAGAAAACACAGAGAGCAAUGGGUAUGUGAACAAUACUUAAAGAACAAGCUAAGAAUAGCUGCCAAGUUAUCUUAGCCCCUAUUUACAUAUCAAUAUUAUAAAAAAAGAAGAUGAGAAAUGAACAAUUACCAUUGCAAACAUUAUAUUUGAUAGUGUUUACUUCUAACUGUCAACCACCACCCAUAAACCUUUCAUCCCCAACAUCACCAUAUGCAUCUUCCCACUCCCCUCUGUCGGUGGAAAGAAAUAACUAAAGUUUCAAGAAUAAAAAGUAUCCAAAAAACACUUUUAAAAAGUACCCCAAUUUAAUCUACGAAUCAAUUAUAAGCCCUAGCUACAAAUUUCCUCCACACUUAACUCGUGAAUCCUAUGAAGUAUGGAAAAAAAAGAACUAAAGAAGAAGAUGAAGAUGAUCAAUAAAGUGAUUAUUAGAAUUUGAGAGGUAGAGAUGGAACUUGUAAGAAAAGAAGGAAGCGCACAGUAGAUCGACAUUGAAAUUUUGACCACACGACGAGCUAAUGGAACUCAAGUCGUGAUAAGAAAUCGAACAUGGAUGGAGAAGAUAGCGGUGGAGAGAAACAGCUAGCGUAAUCGGAAGAAAUAUACCAAAAACUAACAUAUAGAUUGAUAAGGAACUGUCGCUACUUUCAGUGGAAAAAAAAACCCUAAUUUCAUAUAAGGGAAAACGAAUGUGAGAGAGAGAGAGAGAGAGAGAUAAUGUUAGAGGCGGUGGGAUAAGGAAAUGUUAGAAAAAAAAAAACCAGUUUGUGCUUUAUUUUAGAUGAUAGUGUAGAAAAUCGAUUAUGCCAGGAGCAUAGUAGCAGGCAAUGAGUGUAUAUUAGAAAUUUCAUGUAGAAAAUGGAAUCGAGAACUUACAUGCGAAAAAUCGAUGAUCGAUGAGAGAAUAGGUUUGGAUGAAUCGAUGAAGUAGAUAGUCAAAUGGAGAUGGUGGUGUAGGUUACUGUGUUGAAGA
RNAcentral lists this long non-coding RNA (1978 nucleotides) under Lactuca sativa (garden lettuce). RNAcentral's name for it is "long non-coding RNA (LSAT_LNC002252)". Lineage: Eukaryota; Viridiplantae; Streptophyta; Magnoliopsida; Asterales; Asteraceae. The record is from RNAcentral.